RNAcentral lists this non-coding RNA (186 nucleotides) under Deltaproteobacteria bacterium. Its description in RNAcentral is "6S RNA". It matches the Rfam family "6S / SsrS RNA". From Rfam's summary of the family: E. coli 6S RNA was the first non coding RNA to be sequenced, but its function was unknown until recently. It consists of 184 nucleotides that fold into an extended hairpin structure with a large single-stranded internal bulge. Lineage: Bacteria; Pseudomonadati; Myxococcota; Myxococcia. The record is from RNAcentral.
GUUCCCCUGCUGUGCUCGUGAUUGAUGGGACGCUUUUGAUCCAACAGCAUAGUGAACGGGAGUUCCCUCUUGCCUCUGUGUGUCUCUUUCGAGCACAAAAAGAGACCUAAGGGGGUAAUAGAGCGCCCACCUCAUGAGUAUUAGGUUCAAAAAGGGUUUCCACCACGGCACGAUUGCGGGGGAACC